AGCAGAGGCAGGUGUGGCCCCAGGGAUUAGCACUGGGGGACCGGAUGGGGGAGGGAGGCCUCACUUUGUUCUAUGUGAGCAGCUUCCUCGGCCAUCGUGGGACUGAUUGAGACCACGCGAGGGCUCCUCCCGGGGGCAGGUAAUCGCAACUACAGCACCCGCCCAAUUCCACCCCAUCCAGGGUCCUUCGCUGCUUUCCUUUUUUGCCCUCUGUUCUGGGCUCUGCCCUCCCACCUGAACCCUGCUCCUCUGAGAAGUCUUGGCUGAGUCCCAGGCUGAGCCUUCUCUGGGUUCCCACUUCCCAUGCUGAUUCCCACCCUGCUCCCUCCAUCCUGGCAGGAGGGACUCAGAGGCUGCCCCGUUGUCUGGGGGUGGCCCUGGCGAAAGAGCUCAUCUUCACGGGCCGACGACUGAGUGGAACAGAGGCCCACGCACUGGGGCUGGUGAAUCACGCUGUGGCCCAGAACGAGGAGGGGGACGCCGCCUACCAGCGGGCACGAGCACUGGCCCAGGAGAUCCUGCCCCAGGCCCCCAUUGCUGUGCGGCUGGGCAAAGUAGCCAUUGACCGAGGAAUAGAGGUGGACAUUGUAUCCGGGAUGGCCAUUGAAGGGAUGUGCUAUGCCCAGAACAUUCCAACCCGGGACCGGCUAGAGGGCAUGGCAGCCUUCAGGGAGAAGCGGCCCCCCAAAUUUGUUGGCAAAUGACCCCCAUUUUAACCUUCAGCAUGGGAGAUGCAUGCCCUGAAGAGCAGGAUCCAGAAGGAAGAUUUGUGGCCGAAUUUACUUCAUCAUUUCACCUCUCCAGGCUUCCGUUUCUUCACAAGGAUGAUGAUGGAGAUAAAAUGACUGGCGUGAUGCCUGGAACCAAGGUGCUGAUCCUACCACCUACUGCUACCUUCCUUAGCUUCACCCUGGCUAGAAAUAAUCACGAGGGUUGGGUUUGCUUUGGAAAAUGCCGUCUCUCUACUUGAAUGAUAAAGAAUUA
This 984-nucleotide small RNA is filed under the name Pongo abelii (Sumatran orangutan). Its description in RNAcentral is "retained intron". The record is from RNAcentral. Lineage: Eukaryota; Metazoa; Chordata; Mammalia; Primates; Hominidae.